UGGGGAAUAUUGCACAAUGGGCGCAAGCCUGAUGCAGCGACGCCGCGUGAGGGAUGACGGCCUUCGGGUUGUAAACCUCUUUCAAUAGGGACGAAGCGCAAGUGACGGUACCUAUAGAAGAAGGACCGGCCAACUACGUGCCAGCAGCCGCGGUAAUACGUAGGGUCCGAGCGUUGUCCGGAAUUACUGGGCGUAAAGAGCUCGUAGGUGGUUUGUCGCGUUGUUCGUGAAAACUCACAGCUUAACUGUGGGCGUGCGGGCGAUACGGGCAGACUAGAGUACUGCAGGGGAUACUGGAAUUCCUGGUGUAGCGGUGGAAUGCGCAGAUAUCAGGAGGAACACCGGUGGCGAAGGCGGGUCUCUGGGCAGUAACUGACGCUGAGGAGCGAAAGCGUGGGGAGCGAACA
This 407-nucleotide ribosomal RNA is filed under the name uncultured bacterium. RNAcentral's name for it is "bacterial SSU rRNA". It matches the Rfam family "Bacterial small subunit ribosomal RNA", at positions 355 to 774 of the family's 1533-position model. The record is from RNAcentral.